Molecule: ribosomal RNA, 447 nt
Filed under: uncultured bacterium
Lineage: Bacteria
Description: partial 16S ribosomal RNA
Rfam family: Bacterial small subunit ribosomal RNA
Source: RNAcentral
UCCAGACUCCUACGGGAGGCAGCAGUGGGGGAUAUUGCACAAUGGGGGGAACCCUGAUGCAGCGACGCCGCGUGGGUGAAGGAGCGUUUCGGCGCGUAAAGCCCUAUCGGCAGGGAAGAAGGAGGACGGUACCUGACUAAGAAGCCCCGGCUAACUACGUGCCAGCAGCCGCGGUAAUACGUAGGGGGCAAGCGUUAUCCGGAUUUACUGGGUGUAAAGGGAGCGUAGACGGCUGUGCAAGUCAGAAGUGAAAGCCCGGGGCUCAACCGCGGGACUGCUUUUGAAACUGUGUAGCUGGAGUGCAGGAGAGGUAAGUGGAAUUCCUAGUGUAGCGGUGAAAUGCGUAGAUAUUAGGAGGAACACCGGUGGCGAAGGCGGCUUACUGGACUGUAACUGACGUUGAGGCUCGAAAGCGUGGGGAGCAAACAGGAUUAGAUACCCUAGUAU